This is a long non-coding RNA of Homo sapiens (human), 1967 nucleotides long. Ensembl annotates it as SOX2 overlapping transcript. Its record names the gene SOX2-OT. The record is from Ensembl. Lineage: Eukaryota; Metazoa; Chordata; Mammalia; Primates; Hominidae.
AAAAAAAAGAAAAGAAAAAAAAGAGAACCACAGCUUUGGACAAAAGUCUAUAGCCAGUGCAUUUGAAAACUCCCCUUGCACCAGGGCUGACUGUAGCUGGGGGAAGACAUUUUACUCAUUUGCUCUUUCCUUUCAUACAGUCAGCUGGUCCCUCUUCUCAGGUGUAGAUCACCUAUUAUAAUUUUACCUAAUUUUGAUACUCUGAUAAGGAAAGUCCCAGGACUUAUCAGCUGGGAUAGGCCUCACUUACAAGACAGCUCUGUUCAGUAUUUGGAAGAAAGAAAGCCUGACAGGUUUCUUCGGAAAAGUGGCCAUCCAUGGAAUGAAUGAAAUGUUCUCUUUCUAUUCCAGACAAGUUUAAUGUCUGACACCCUGCACAAAAUUGCAAAAGCAGCAGUGCCCAAAAGAAAAACAAUCAAAAGAAAGCACAGGGUUUUCAUCUCCAAGAAUGCUAUCUUUAGGACAAUCUGCAUCAUGAAUUUAGUUGUGAUGUGUGUUGUGAAUCUUCUAAAGGAUCCUUUAUUUAUCUACACCUUAAUGUAGCUUUAAAUAUCUGCUUUAUUUCUAUGUAUAAUCUUAACAAAAGUAGUUACAUUACCAUGCCUGGUACUGAUUUUUACAUCUGACUUUUUGCUGUUACAUUUCAAGAAGGUUAAUAUUGCUUUUGUAACCCUGUCAUGAGUAAUGCAUUUUCCCAGUAAACAUGUCAUAAUGUUAAAGGCUGUUCAAGAAGCAGUGUUUCUGUUGAAACAGUUUUGUAUUUAUUUCUCUAUUGUUUAUUAUCCAUAAUAUAGUGUAAGGCUUUGAAAAGAACACGCAUAUUUAUGUAAUUAACACUUUUUGUUAUUAGGAAAGCCUUCCCAUUAAAAACUAAGAGAGUCUAAGAAAACUAUAUAAAUGGGCAACUUUUCAGGAAAAAUAUUUGCAUUCGAUUUUAAUUUGCCAUCAAGCUUAUAUGUUAAAAUGUAUACAUAAAGUGACUGAGGGAAGGGUACUUUCUGGUGUUUUUUUUCUUAUUUUUUAAUCUAAAAUAUAUGUUGAAAUUCAAAAGGUGUUCACCACAUGCAGUGUGGCAGCGUUCAAUAUUCUUUAACAGCUGUAUACUGUGUGGGUCUGUAUGAAGUUACAGGGGCUCACAAGCUUUAUAACGGACACAAACAUUCUUUUCUAUUUCAGUCUUAACUCCUAGAAGCAGGAGUAAGACUUGGAAAGAACCAAGCAGCCUCCUGCCCCACUGAGACCAGAGUACCUCUGCUAUUAUCUGCUGUGUAUAUUAGAGUUCCAUUAAGAUUUACUCAUGAAAAUCCCAUGCUAGAAAGAAAAAGUGAAACAUUACUGACUGAGGCUAUCUUAUAGAAAAGGAAAGCAGGGUUUACUCAAGGUUGUACACUGAGUGAGUGACAGUGUCAAUUUUAUCACCCAGUUUCUUGUCUCCUGGUCCCAGGCUUACUCUCCUAACCAGACACAGUCAUGGCUCUGUAUGUCCAGGCCUCCUAAACUAUAUUGCUAAAAGCUCACACCAAGAGAUUCACAGCCAUAUGUUUAAAAUCAGGAUGCUUCCUGAAGAUAUAGUAUCUAGGUGGUAAAUGGAAUUUUUUAACAUUAUAGACCAAAAUCAAGCCCUUUAUUUGGCAAUAUUAUUCAUUCUGGCUGCAUUGUUGUAGCUGUUAGGUAAAAGAUUGAUUCCUCUUACUUCUUAGUAAAGUAAUAUUUUGGAGGUUUCUUAAUGGUAUUUCUAAUUGUGGUAAAAAAAUAAAAUUUACUACCCUCACCAUUUUUAACGGUAUAGUUCAGUAAUGUUAACUUAAGUGGUAUUUUUUACAGUAGAAAAAUAAUUAGUACUUAAAUCCAAAAGAAAGAAAUUUUUUUUAAAAAACUGAAUUAAGAUGCUAAUUUUUCAAAACAUGUUUUAUGGAAUACCAUCCCUAUAAGCUAUGCCAGCUAAAAAAAAAAUAACACGGUCAAAU